CUCGUAGGCGGCCAACUAAGUCAGACGUGAAAUCCCUCGGCUUAACCGGGGAACUGCGUUUGAUACUGGAUGGCUUGAGUUCGGGAGAGGGAUGCGGAAUUCCAGGUGUAGCGGUGAAAUGCGUAGAUAUCUGGAGGAACACCGGUGGCGAAGGCGGCAUCCUGGACCGAUACUGACGCUGAGGAGCGAAAGCCAGGGGAGCAAACG
RNAcentral lists this ribosomal RNA (207 nucleotides) under uncultured bacterium. RNAcentral's name for it is "partial 16S ribosomal RNA". It matches the Rfam family "Bacterial small subunit ribosomal RNA", at positions 568 to 774 of the family's 1533-position model. The record is from RNAcentral.